This 492-nucleotide ribosomal RNA is filed under the name uncultured bacterium. RNAcentral describes it as "partial 16S ribosomal RNA". It matches the Rfam family "Bacterial small subunit ribosomal RNA", at positions 29 to 507 of the family's 1533-position model. The record is from RNAcentral.
AGUGAACGCUGGCGGUAGGCCUAACACAUGCAAGUCGAACGGCAGCACAGUAAGAGCUUGCUCUUACGGGUGGCGAGUGGCGGACGGGUGAGGAAUACAUCGGAAUCUACUUUUUCGUAGGGGAUAACGUAGGGAAACUUACGCUAAUACCGCAUAUGACCUACGGGUGAAAGCAGGGGAUCUUCGGACCUUGCGCGAUUGAAUGAGCCGAUGUCGGAUUAGCUAGUUGGCGGGGUAAAGGCCCACCAAGGCGACGAUCCGUAGCUGGUCUGAGAGGAUGAUCAGCCACACUGGAACUGAGACACGGUCCAGACUCCUACGGGAGGCAGCAGUGGGGAAUAUUGGACAAUGGGCGCAAGCCUGAUCCAGCCAUACCGCGUGGGUGAAGAAGGCCUUCGGGUUGUAAAGCCCUUUUGUUGGGAAAGAAAAGCAGCAGGUUAAUACCCCGCUGUCCUGACGGUACCCAAAGAAUAAGCACCGGCUAACUUCGUG